Molecule: long non-coding RNA, 915 nt
Filed under: Homo sapiens (human)
Lineage: Eukaryota; Metazoa; Chordata; Mammalia; Primates; Hominidae
Description: HSALNT0339062
Source: RNAcentral
GCACAGGUGGACCAACGGGGGGUGUGACUGUGGGCACCGUGCGCGGAGGCGGAGGCUCAUCUGGUUCCCACCCUCCGUGCCGCUGGAUGCCCCAGGAUUUUCUCCAACCGGGGUCCCGGCUUGGAGCCCUCCUUGGUGCGAGCUUUGGCUCAGCAAUGGGGAAAGCGGGAAUGGGUCUCGCCCUUGUGGCUGCCUGGUGGAAGCGGCGGUUUUGACACACGAAUAGUCGUGGGGAGCAGAUCCAGAGAGGGCGCAUUUGCAAUAAUAACGCUUAGUUUAUCUCUGCCAGAGGGGCGGGAACAGGCCUUCGCGCUGGUGUCUUACAUCAGCCAAGCAAACCAUGGGCGCGAUUGGAGCCAACCACCUCCAGCGGGGUUUUGCUCCAGACUUAAGGUGCACGGAAACCGGAGCAUUCAGCCCUUCAUGGAUGCCUCCCGAAAACCUCACCAUGCCAGUGACACGACUGCAAACGGCGGGUGGCACAUGCCGGGGGCUUGGGAUGGGAGGGUUUGGAAACCUCGCUCCAAGGACGCCCUCAGCCAAGGAGCUUCGGCUCCUUCCUAGAAUUUCUAGAAGCACUUUUGGAGGGACCGAGGGCUUCCGGCCGGGCCCAGAGGAAUUUGAGCGCUUGCCCGGGCAGGCAGAAGCGCAGCCUGGGAGUGGAGAGGCUGCUGGGCCACAUUCCGGCCCAGCUUCCCCCGCUAGGCCCCAGCCCUGCCGCGGCGCCCCAGGAAGCACCUCCGAAAACAAAGCGCUGUGGUUUCAGCCCAAGGUUAAAGUCCACCGCGAGCGUGUUUUUUCCCCCCUCCAGAAUCUAAGAGCGAUAGCGUUUCUCCAAAUAAACCGCCAAUAAAUCAGCUCCCGGGGGCGCCUGCUGAAGAGCUCUGGUGACCUUGGGGGAUGGUUUUUCUGCCU